CCUACGGGGGGCAGCAGUCGAGAAUCAUUCACAAUGGGGGAAACCCUGAUGGUGCGACGCCGCGUGGGGGAAUGAAGGUCUUCGUAUUGUAAACCCCUGUCAUGUGGGAGCAAAUUAAAAAGAUAGUACCACAAGAGGAAGAGACGGCUAACUCUGUUCCAGCAGCCGCGGUAAUACAGAGGUCUCAAGCGUUGUUCGGAAUCACUGGUCGUAAAGCGUUCGGAGGCUGUUUCGUAAGUCGUGUGUGAAAGGCGGGGGAGCAAACCGCGGACAGCACAUGAUACUGGGAGACUAGAGUAAGGGAGGGGGAAGCGGAAUGCGCGGGGUAGCGGUGAAAUGCGGAGAUAUCGCGAGGAACACUGGUGGCGAAGGCGGGUUGCUGGAUAUUAACGGACGCUGAGGCACGAAGGCCAGGGGAGCGAAAGGGAUUAGAUACCCCGGGAGUC
Molecule: ribosomal RNA, 446 nt
Filed under: uncultured bacterium
Lineage: Bacteria
Description: partial 16S ribosomal RNA
Rfam family: Bacterial small subunit ribosomal RNA
Source: RNAcentral